UCUCUAUGCGGUGCCAGCAGCCGCGGUAAUACGAAGGGUGCAAGCGUUACUCGGAAUCACUGGGCGUAAAGCGUGCGUAGGCGGUUCGUUAAGUCUGCUGUGAAAGCCCUGGGCUCAACCUGGGAACUGCAGUGGAUACUGGCGGGCUAGAGUGUGAUAGAGGAUGGUGGAAUUCCCGGUGUAGCGGUGAAAUGCGUAGAGAUCGGGAGGAACACCAGUGGCGAAGGCGGCCAUCUGGAUCAACACUGACGCUGAGGCACGAAAGCGUGGGGAGCAAACAGGAUUAGAUACCCUGGUAGUCCACGCCCUAAACGAUGCGAACUGGACGUUGGUUGCAACUUGGCAAUCAGUGUCGAAGCUAACGCGUUAAGUUCGCCGCCUGGGGAGUACGGUCGCAAGACUGAAACUCAAAUGAAUUGACGGG
RNAcentral lists this ribosomal RNA (424 nucleotides) under uncultured bacterium. RNAcentral describes it as "bacterial SSU rRNA". It matches the Rfam family "Bacterial small subunit ribosomal RNA", at positions 496 to 917 of the family's 1533-position model. The record is from RNAcentral.